AACGAACGCUGGCGGCAGGCCUAACACAUGCAAGUCGAGCGCUACCUUCGGGUGGAGCGGCGGACGGGUUAGUAACGCGUGGGAACGUACCCAGAUCUAAGGAAUAGCCACUGGAAACGGUGAGUAAUACCUUAUACGCCCUUCGGGGGAAAGAUUUAUCGGAUUUGGAUCGGCCCGCGUUAGAUUAGAUAGUUGGUGGGGUAAUGGCCUACCAAGUCUACGAUCUAUAGCUGGUUUUAGAGGAUGAUCAGCAACACUGGGACUGAGACACGGCCCAG
This 278-nucleotide ribosomal RNA is filed under the name uncultured Phaeobacter sp. RNAcentral describes it as "partial 16S ribosomal RNA". It matches the Rfam family "Bacterial small subunit ribosomal RNA", at positions 29 to 334 of the family's 1533-position model. The record is from RNAcentral. Lineage: Bacteria; Pseudomonadati; Pseudomonadota; Alphaproteobacteria; Rhodobacterales; Roseobacteraceae.